RNAcentral lists this ribosomal RNA (253 nucleotides) under uncultured bacterium. RNAcentral's name for it is "partial 16S ribosomal RNA". It matches the Rfam family "Bacterial small subunit ribosomal RNA", at positions 524 to 776 of the family's 1533-position model. The record is from RNAcentral.
UACGAAGGGGGCGAGCGUUAUUCGGAAUCACUGGGCGUAAAGCGUGCGUAGGCGGUUCGGAAAGUCAGAAGUGAAAGCCCAAGGCUCAACCUUGGAAGCGCUUUUGAAACUCCCGAACUCGGAUUUGGGAGAGGAUAGCGGAAUUGUCAGUGUAGCAGUGAAAUGCGUAGAUAUUGACAGGAACACCAGUGGCGCAAGCGGCUAUCUGGACCAACAUCGACGCUGAGGCACGAAAGCGUGGGGAUCAAACAGG